This 109-nucleotide ribosomal RNA is filed under the name Sus scrofa (pig). Lineage: Eukaryota; Metazoa; Chordata; Mammalia; Artiodactyla; Suidae. The record is from RNAcentral.
GUCCACGGCCAUACCACCCUGAAAGCACCCAGUCUCAUCUAAUCUUGGCAGCAAAGCAGGGUCAGGCCUCGUUAGUACUUGGAUGGGAGAGCUGGCAGAGCCGCUUAUG